This is a long non-coding RNA of Eurytemora carolleeae, 394 nucleotides long. RefSeq lists it as uncharacterized. The record is from RefSeq and is a predicted model, not a curated record. Lineage: Eukaryota; Metazoa; Arthropoda; Copepoda; Calanoida; Temoridae. The transcript is spliced from 3 exons.
UAUAAAAUUUCUUUUUAGAUCUAAAACUGUUGAAAACCUUGAAAACUUAAACUUAUCAUCAUUAGUCGGAGAAAUGAAACGUUUUUCAAAUAUAUCCAUGAUUGCUGAACAGGGAGGGUCACUUGAAAUUACGCUUACAGUCCCUUCUUAAAGACCUGGGCAAAGAGGAACAGAAGGAUUUUUUAAGAACUGUUGAAUAUAAGAAUAAACAAUUUAUAUGUUGAAAUAUUCAAUAAUGAUGUAAUUACUGAAACGUAUAAAUAAUCGAUGUAAUUAAUGUAAUUAUUGUUAUAAUCAUUUUCUCCUAUUUAUGCAUAAUUAGGCAUAUUUUUGUAAAUCUAUAAUAUAUCAAAAAUGUUAAAGAAAGGAAUUGAAUCUUUGCCAGAAACUAUAA